Molecule: non-coding RNA, 466 nt
Organism: Sarcophilus harrisii (Tasmanian devil)
Lineage: Eukaryota; Metazoa; Chordata; Mammalia; Dasyuromorphia; Dasyuridae
Source: the annotation of a RefSeq genome assembly
GGGCGGAGUGGGAGAUAAAAAGCCCUGGUGGGAGCCCAGACCUAGCUCUUGGGGCUUCAGGAGGCAGAGCAUCUACACCAUGGACCUGACCCCUUUCCUUCUUGUGUUGCUCAGUGUCUGCAAAGGGAGCAGUGCCCAGGCUGUGGUGACUCAGGAGCCUUCUCUGACCGUGAUCCCAGGAGGGACAGUCACCCUGACCUGCAGCUCCAGCACAGGGGCCGUCACCUCUGGCCACUAUCCCAACUGGAUCCAGCAGAAAUCUGGCCAGUCCCCCAGGGGGCUCAUUUACAACACCAACAGUCUUGUAGCAGGUGUCCCUGCUCGGUUCUCAGGGUCCCUCCUUGGGGACAAAGCUGCCCUCACCAUCAAGGGGGCCCAGCCUGAGGAUGAGGCUCACUAUCACUGUGCCUUGUGGUACAGCAGUGCUAGGCACAGUGAGAGUCUCCAAUAGAGAACUGAGACAAAA